This 453-nucleotide ribosomal RNA is filed under the name Salmonella enterica subsp. enterica serovar Braenderup. Its description in RNAcentral is "partial 23S ribosomal RNA". It matches the Rfam family "Bacterial large subunit ribosomal RNA", at positions 1304 to 1757 of the family's 2925-position model. The record is from RNAcentral. Lineage: Bacteria; Pseudomonadati; Pseudomonadota; Gammaproteobacteria; Enterobacterales; Enterobacteriaceae.
AAGUAACGAUAAAGCGGGUGAAAAGCCCGCUCGCCGGAAGACCAAGGGUUCCUGUCCAACGUUAAUCGGGGCAGGGUGAGUCGACCCCUAAGGCGAGGCCGAAAGGCGUAGUCGAUGGGAAACGGGUUAAUAUUCCCGUACUUGGUGUUACUGCGAAGGGGGGACGGAGAAGGCUAUGUUGGCCGGGCGACGGUUGUCCCGGUUUAAGCGUGUAGGUGUGUGUUCCAGGUAAAUCCGGUUCACUUUAACACUGAGGCGUGACGACGAGGCACUACGGUGCUGAAGCAACAAAUGCCCUGCUUCCAGGAAAAGCCUCUAAGCAUCAGGUAACAUCAAAUCGUACCCCAAACCGACACAGGUGGUCAGGUAGAGAAUACCAAGGCGCUUGAGAGAACUCGGGUGAAGGAACUAGGCAAAAUGGUGCCGUAACUUCGGGAGAAGGCACGCUGACAC